This 326-nucleotide ribosomal RNA is filed under the name uncultured soil bacterium. RNAcentral's name for it is "bacterial SSU rRNA". It matches the Rfam family "Bacterial small subunit ribosomal RNA", at positions 26 to 381 of the family's 1533-position model. The record is from RNAcentral.
AGAACGAACGCUGGCGGCAUGCCUAAUACAUGCAAGUCGAGCGAACACUUCGGUGUUAGUGGCGCACGGGUGCGUAACGCGUGGGAAUCUGCCUUGGGUUCGGAAUAACAGUUGGAAACGACUGCUAAUACCGGAUGAUAUCGAAAGAUCAAAGAUUUAUCGCCCAGGGAUGAGCCCGCGUAGGAUUAGCUAGUUGGUGAGGUAAAGGCUCACCAAGGCGACGAUCCUUAGCUGGUCUGAGAGGAUGAUCAGCCACACUGGGACUGAGACACGGCCCAGACUCCUACGGGAGGCAGCAGUAGGGAAUAUGGACAAUGGGCGCGAAG